Molecule: long non-coding RNA, 1185 nt
Filed under: Cyanistes caeruleus (blue tit)
Lineage: Eukaryota; Metazoa; Chordata; Aves; Passeriformes; Paridae
Description: lncRNA (ENSCCEG00000020904.1)
Source: RNAcentral
UGGCUCUAUGAUCCCAUGGUUCUAUGAUAUCAUGGUUCUAUGAUGUCAUGACUUUGAUUCUAUGAUGUCCUGGCUCUAUGAUAUCAUGAUUCCAUGGCGCUUUCCAUGAUUCUACUGUUCAAUAACUUCAUGAUCCCACGGUUCUGUGUUUCUGCGGUCCCAUGUCGCUAUGACUCUGUGAUUCCCUGACCUUGGGUCUGGCCUGGAAUUACAUCCUUGAAGAGAAACGCGAUAAACUCACAUUGAUCAGCAGCAGAGGGCGUCCAACACACGCGUGUCCCUAAAUCCCGGCCCCGAGCUCCAACAGCAGAUCCAACGGUGGCCAAAACUCUUACUCGGAGCGCGGCCGAUGCUUCCCCGCCAAUUGUGCCGCUGCCCCAGGUUUCCUUCCCCGCUCCCUGCUCGGUGCCAUACGGGAGGUGCAGACCCAAUUGUUCGCCCUGUGGCCCCUGCAGACAGGAUACGAGCCCAGUGCCAGGCUCAAAGUUCACCCCAAAUCCCAAUGCCAGUCAGAGCUGGAGUGAUCCAGGCGAUCUCCAUCCUGGAGCUUUGAGAGGAACACUUCACACCCACCUCCUCUGCGCUGACCUUCAGCAGGAGCAGCUCUCCCUUGGGUGUGCCUGCACUGAGCUGCUCUUCUCUGACAGUUCACUCACCCCAUGUCUUGCCACCCAUCACCUUUCCUCUCUUCCCUUGUCAGUCGGGGCUGACUCACUGCCAGGCUGUGCCAGGCCCUGCACAAUCCCUCUGGCUCCUCAGAGAGGAUGGCCACAGUCUGCAGGGUGAGCACAGCCUUGGGAGGCCACUGUCACCCAUCUGGGGACAGCUCAGGAGGGGAGAGGAGAGGAGAGGAGAGGAGAGGAGAGGAGACUUAAGUUUCCAGGGGAAAACACUAAGGUGGUGCUGAGGACACCAGUAACUGUGGGUUAUCUGCAGUUCUGCCUGUGCCUGUGAAGUUGGGAUGUUGGAUGAGUUGGAUAUGUACCUCAUGCCUUUCCCCAACCUCAAAUGAAGAUUAUGGACCCAAAUCACAGGAAUUUUCUCCCAGAUGCAGAGCACCAACCCUACUGAAGAGAUUCCCACUCUGAAUGCGGCUAGUGCCCACUGCUUUCCUGGCUAACUUCAUGGAAGGACACCAAAGUCAGGGCUUCAGCAAUAUUUCCAGUCUAGUUGGGUUUCCCUGGG